CGGUGCAUUAGCUAGUUGGUAAGGUAACGGCCUACCAAGGCGACGAUGCAUAGCCGACCUGAGAGGGCGAACGGCCACAUUGGGACUGAGACACGGCCCAAACUCCUACGGGAGGCAGCAGUAGGGAAUUUUCGUCAAUGGGGGGAACCCUGAACGAGCAAUGCCGCGUGAGUGAAGACGGUCUUCGGAUUGUAAAGCUCUGUUGUGAGAGAAAAAGGAUAUAUAUAGGAAAUGAUAUGUAUUUGAUGGUAUCUCACCAGAAAGUCACGGCUAACUACGUGCCAGCAGCCGCGGUAAUACGUAGGUGGCGAGCGUUAUCCGGAAUGAUUGGGCGUAAAGGGUACGUAGGCGGCAUGAUAAGUCUGGAGUGAAAGGCUACAGCUCAACUGUAGUAUGCUCUGGAAACUGUCAAGCUAGAGUGCAGAAGAGGGCAAUGGAACUCCAUGUGUAGCGGUAAAAUGCGUAGAUAUAUGGAAGAACACCGGUGGCGAAGGCGGUUGCCUGGUCUGAAACUGACGCUGAAGUACGAAAGCGUGGGGAGCAAAUAGGAUUAGAUACCCUAGUAGUCCACGCCGUAAAAGAGGAGAACUAGGUGUUGGGGGAAUAACUCAGUGCC
This 616-nucleotide ribosomal RNA is filed under the name uncultured bacterium. RNAcentral's name for it is "bacterial SSU rRNA". It matches the Rfam family "Bacterial small subunit ribosomal RNA", at positions 234 to 847 of the family's 1533-position model. The record is from RNAcentral.